RNAcentral lists this small RNA (400 nucleotides) under Arabidopsis thaliana (thale cress). RNAcentral describes it as "ATSL276850". The record is from RNAcentral. Lineage: Eukaryota; Viridiplantae; Streptophyta; Magnoliopsida; Brassicales; Brassicaceae.
GAAUAAAUAAACAAUUCAACCAACAAAAACCAAGUAUGAUUAACAAUCCUAACACAACUCUAACCGGGUUCCAAUAACCAAAACACAAAAAUAAAUCAAACGAGUUCCGAAAUCAUCCUCUCUUCCUUGCCAUGAUUCCACGAUCACACUUUAUCUUUACCUGCACCAAAAAAGAAAUAGAUGCGUAAGUAUUAUCACAAAUACUUAGCGAGGCAAUCCUCCUAUCUACGAGCUAUACACAUAAGCAAUUAAAAGGGUAUAAUCACAAAUACAACAUAAACAAACCAGUCACUGAACAAUUCACCCAAAAACACAUUCACCACACCUACAUAUCAUCACACAAAACAAAUCAUACAACCCAAUCGCUCAGAUAAGCUCAUGGUCACGCCCUCACCUUAUC